GAUGAGAGUUUGAUCCUGGCUCAGGAUGAACGCUGGCGGUCUGCUUAACACAUGCAAGUCGAACGCAACCUUCGGGUUGAGUGGCGGACGGGUGAGUAACGCGUGAGAAUCUGCCUUGGGGUCGGGGACAACCACUGGAAACGGUGGCUAAUACCGGAUACGCCUUCGGGUAAAAGAUUUAUUGCCCUAAGAGGAGCUCGCGUCUGAUUAGCUAGUUGGUGAGGUAAGAGCUCACCAAGGCAGCGAUCAGUAGCUGGUCUGAGAGGACGAUCAGCCACACUGGGACUGAGACACGGCCCAGACUCCUACGGGAGGCAGCAGUGGGGAAUUUUCCGCAAUGGGCGAAAGCCUGACGGAGCAAGACCGCGUGAGGGAGGAAGGCUCUUGGGUUGUAAACCUCUUUUCUCAGGGAAGAAGCUCUGACGGUACCUGAGGAAUCAGCCUCGGCUAACUCCGUGCCAGCAGCCGCGGUAAUACGGAGGAGGCAAGCGUUAUCCGGAAUUAUUGGGCGUAAAGCGUCCGCAGGUGGCGAUUCAAGUCUGCUGUCAAAGCACGGGGCUUAACUCCGUAAAGGCAGUGGAACUGAAUAGCUAGAGUGCCGUAGGGGUAGAGGGAAUUCCCGGUGUAGCGGUGAAAUGCGUAGAGAUCGGGAAGAACAUCGGUGGCGAAAGCGCUCUACUGGACGGCAACUGACACUCAGGGACGAAAGCUAGGGGAGCG
This 720-nucleotide ribosomal RNA is filed under the name uncultured bacterium. RNAcentral's name for it is "bacterial SSU rRNA". It matches the Rfam family "Bacterial small subunit ribosomal RNA", at positions 1 to 770 of the family's 1533-position model. The record is from RNAcentral.